GGAAAGGUGAAAAGAACCCCGGGAGGGGAGUGAAAGAGAACCUGAAACUGUGUGCUUACAAUUAGUCAGAGCCCGUUAAUGGGUGAUGGCAUGCCUUUUGUAGAAUGAACCGGCGAGUUACGGUAUCUAGCAAGGUUAAGCUUAAAGGAGCGGAGCCGAAGCGAAAGCGAGUCUGAAUAGGGCGUUAAGUUAGGUGCUGUAGACCCGAAACUGGGUGAGCUAGCCAUGAGCAGGUUGAAGUUUGGGUAAGACCAAAUGGAGGACCGAACCAGGGCACGUUAAAAAGUGCUUGGAUGACUUGUGGCUAGGGGUGAAAUUCCAAUCGAACCCAGAGAUAGCUGGUUCUCCCCGAAAUAGCUUUAGGGCUAGCGUUAGCGUAGAGAGUUUCAUGAAGGUAGAGCACUGAAUGUGUGAUGGCCCCACCUCGGGGUACUGAGCCCAAUCAAACUACGAAUGUCAUAAAAUAUAGCUAGCAGUCAGACUGUGGGUGAUAAGGUUCAUGGUCAAAAGGGAAAGAGCCCAGACCGUCAGAUAAGGUCCCAAAAUGGAUGCUAAGUGGAAAAGGAAGUGGAGAUGCACAAACAACUAGGAGGUUGGCUUAGAAGCAGCCAUCCUUUAAAGAGUGCGUAAAAGCUCACUAGUCGAGUGAAUCUGCGCCGAAAAUGUACCGGGGCUAAGCAUCCUACCGAAUCUACGGAUUGAUAAUUAAUUAUCAGUGGUAGGGGAGCGUUCCAACAGCGGAGAAGGUAGAUCGGAAGGACUACUGGAGUGGUUGGAAGUGAGAAUGCCGGUGUAAGUAACGAAAAGAUAGGUGAGAAUCCUAUCCGUCGAAAACCCAAGGUUUCCAGGGGAAGGUUCGUCCGCCCUGGGUAAGUCGGGGCCUAAGGUGAGGCUGAAGAGCGUAGCCGAUGGAUAGCAGGUAGAGAUUCCUGCACUAGUUUGUAGACUGAAGGAGUGACAAAGGAGGCUAACAUCCGCCCCUCUAGUGGAUUGGGGACAAGGGAUCGAGGUUGGCGUGUAGGCAAAUCCGCACGCUAAUAAGACUGAGAUCCGGUAGGUAAAGGAUGAUGACGUCAAACUUUCAAGAAAAGCUUCUAGGGUUAAUUUACUAACUACCCGUACCGUAAACCGACACAGGUGGGUGGGUAGAGAAUACUAAGACGCGCGAGAAAACCCUUGUUAAGGAACUCGGCAAAAUGACUCCGUAACUUCGGGAUAAGGAGGACUUUUAAUGAAAAAAGAAAGUCGCAGAGAAUAGGCCCAAGCGACUGUUUAUCAAAAACACAGGUCUCUGCAAAACCGUAAGGUGAAGUAUAGGGGCUGACGCCUGCCCGGUGCUGGAAGAUUAAGAGGAGAUGUUAGGCAACGAAGCAUUGAAUUGAAGUCCCAGUAAACGGCGGCCGUAACUAUAACGGUCCUAAGGUAGCGAAAUUCCUUGUCGGGUAAGUUCCGACCCGCACGAAAGGCGUAACGAUUUGGGCACUGUCUCAACAAGGGACUCGGUGAAAUCAAGCUGCCGGUGAAAACGCCGGCUACCCGCGACAGGACGAAAAGACCCCAUGGAGCUUUACUGUAGCUUGAUAUUGACAUUGGGUGUAAGAUGUACAGGAUAGGUGGGAGACUGAGAAUCUAGAACGCUAGUUUUGGAGGAGUCAACCUUGGGAUACCACCCUUCGUGCAUCUGAUGUCUAACCCGCCGAAGUGGAUUCGGGGG
RNAcentral lists this ribosomal RNA (1714 nucleotides) under soil metagenome. RNAcentral describes it as "bacterial LSU rRNA". It matches the Rfam family "Bacterial large subunit ribosomal RNA", at positions 508 to 2249 of the family's 2925-position model. The record is from RNAcentral.